GAGACCUCAGGUCAAGCGGGGCUACCCGCUGAGUUUAAGCAUAUCAAUAAGCGGAGGAAAAG
This 62-nucleotide ribosomal RNA is filed under the name Lespedeza thunbergii subsp. formosa. RNAcentral describes it as "partial 26S ribosomal RNA". It matches the Rfam family "Eukaryotic large subunit ribosomal RNA", at positions 1 to 61 of the family's 3401-position model. Lineage: Eukaryota; Viridiplantae; Streptophyta; Magnoliopsida; Fabales; Fabaceae. The record is from RNAcentral.